CCCCUAAAAACAAGAUCGCAUACAGGUUACAGCAUUGAAAUCAGAAACUAAAACUAUCAAAUAUAAUUACAAAUUAAACUACAUUAUCAGCUAAACCCCGAUAAGAAGAGUAGCUGAUAACCAAAUAAACAAAUCUAGUUUUUAGCUGAAUUGAAUUGCACAACUCCAACUGCACCUAAUCAUAAUGACAUCUUCCUGGAUACUCUACCUCACCAUCUGCUUGAAACUCAACCACUUGCAAUCAUUGUCUAUCAUUGCUCUUACGCGCAGUCUUAAGUGAAUCAUCUUUAUCCCUAGCUGAAAAGGGUUAGAGGAAUAGCAAGAAUGAGCAAUAAUGCUCAGCAAGUAUAUAAUAUCCAAACCAACAAUAAUUCAUAAACCAUAUGUAAAGCAUGGCAACGAUAUCAAGAUUCUAACAUGCUUCGAAGGUUAACCAACACAAUAUGAUUUAAACAAAACAGUUUCUCCUUUAUGGAAUUGGAACCAGAUAAGACGCUACGAGCUAAGCUGGGUGAUCAGCCCACGACAUAGCUCCGAACCCGUAUAUCCAAUACGAGUUCUCAAAUAUAAAGGAUCCUAGGCACACUUUGGCCUUUAAUAAUUCAAUUGGGACCGGCGCCUCGGUCAUAAAACAUUUUCAUCCAAUUCCCUUUUUGAAACAGAUAAUCAAAUCAUUUUUCAUUUUAAAACCAAGGUUCAAAAUCUAUAAGCAUCAACGCUUCUAAACCAAUUAUUCAUUUUAACACCUUAGCAUUAGAGUUCUACUAAUUAAGUAUUCUUUAUCAAGGGUAUAGGUUGCUGAAUUAAGUGUAUCAAUGUAUUUUAUAAUGAUGGCAGGAUAGGUUGUAAGAUGAUAACUAAGGUCUUUCAAGAAAUGGGGUUUCAUUUCUGGGUCUGAAACAAACAAGUGAACUAGUUUAUAAGCCAGGACACAAUUUGUUGUAGUUAAAAAGGAGGUAAAAAAAUAAGGUUCUAAGCUCAAUAUUAAGUAACUGGCAGUUGAAGAAGAUAAGGAGGAUAAUAGUGUGGAUACAUUUGCGAGAUAUAAAAGACAAAAGGUAUUCCAUUUCAUACUUGGGUAAUUCCAGAAUACUAGUUAAUUAGUAGAAGUCUAAUUCUAUAAGGAGUUUUGCAAUAUUCAAAGCAUAACAAAAGCAUUGCAGGAGCAAAAUCUUUUAAAGAGAAAGUAGGUUGGAUAUAUACUUGCCUUAACUCCGGUGUCUAGCUCAGAUUUCUAAUAACACUAUGUAGUGCCAUAUCAUUCCUUUCCGCCGCUUCUAACAAGAUUCUAUCUAUAGCAAUCUCUGCCUAACUUCAACUUGCAACACAACUUAGCUGUUUCUGAAUAACCAUUUCAAUCACUUCUCGAUCAAUGCCUCGAUCAACGUCUCGUUCAAUUCUAUAUGAUGGCAAAAUAGUAUUUCAGUCGUCCGAUCAGACGGAUUAACUAAGCUCGAAAAGCAUUAAGACCUAUUAUAUAUCUACCCUUCGCAUAUACAUACCACAUAGUCAGAUAAACACAUAGCACAUAGUUCCACAAUAACCCUUUUUUUUAUAGCCACUUAGAUACUUAAAAUUUUCUAACAAAAUUUCGGCAGCACCUCCUCUAUUUAUCGGACUAUCCACCUGUUUUCUUAUACUAUUCAACAAGUAACCAACUCAAACCAAAUCAAUAAACCAACAAGUACUGAACCAAUAUCAAUUAAACACAAUCACUAUUAAACAUUAUUAACACUAACCAACCAAGUAUAACCUCAUAUUAUGCACUAACAAAGAAAGAAAACUAGAGCAAAUAGUUCAAAUAGCCCUUACUCUAUGAUUUUUAAUAAAUUGAAAACUUAUCGAUAUAAUAUGAAAUUUUUAUGAAAUACUCCUACACAUUAUUCCAACCUACAGUAAAAUUUUCAGAAAGCAAAUCCAAGCUUAAAGCAGUAAAACAGGCCUGUCAAUCAGGCACCAGAAACUGCUUUGCAAAACCAGCCAGACGCUAGAAUUUUUAAUAAAUAAAAAAAUUGGUCUGAUUGUAUAAAAUUUUAAUGACAUAUUCCAGAUACUAACAUCCAACUCUGGUAAAAAUUUCAGAAGCAAAGCUCGAGUUUAAGGUAGCAAAACAGGGCAUGGAACAGGACACGUAAACUUGCCCAGAAUUUUCUGCGCAUACCAUAGUAAAACGGUCAUAUCUCCUAGCUCGCUAAUCGAAUCGAUUCGAUUCUUUCGCGCACAUAAACUAGACUCUGAGGAGCACAUAACCACAGAAAUAUUAAGCAUAUAAUUCGACUCUAUAAGCCCAGAAUUUUACUGCAAACAGAUCAGCAGCAACCUACAAUUCAACCGAUUAUGUGUAAAUCUAAAUUUUUAGCCCAAUACUUAAACUCUUAAAACACCAUUCUGAAAACAUUUACACAAAAUCUCAGACCUUAAAACUUGAAUACUCAGUUAUAUAUUCCCAUAAUUCAAGUACCCAAGUCAUCCGAUUAUACUACUAGUUGGCGUACUAAUUAUAAUCAACUUACAACAAUCAAUUCAAAUGUCAAUUAAGCACACAAUUCAAUCAUACAAUUACUAAAACCCAUCUCAAUCUCAAAAAUUCAAUUCACCUCCAUUUACCAGCGUUAAUCAGUUUAUAUACAUACAAGCACACAUAAAUCGAUUAUAUAAAUCAAUUUAAUCUAUAUAAACACAACACCACAUAUAUAUACGUCCAUAUAGAACUGAUUUGACAAAUAGAAAUUAAGCUUUAUACCCACUGAUUUAUAACUGGUGACAGGCUAUGGUGGUCGCCGGAA
Molecule: long non-coding RNA, 2786 nt
Filed under: Daucus carota (carrot)
Lineage: Eukaryota; Viridiplantae; Streptophyta; Magnoliopsida; Apiales; Apiaceae
Description: long non-coding RNA (DCAR_LNC007567)
Source: RNAcentral